UUUUUUUUGAACUGGGGUCCGGCCUUUGUUCAGCGGUGCGGCAAGGGGCCGGCUGGAGCGAAGCGGGGCUGGUGGCGUCCCGGUACCUCGGCUUGCGUCGACAACUCCGGCUGCGGCUCCUGCUGAUGUACCCCCUGGACAGGGUGAAGGAGGGCGGCUCGGGGAGGAGAGGGUGGUCCUCGGAGCCCCAGGCCUUCGUUGGGGGGUUCGGCCGAGGCGGCCGCGCUCCCGUCCGCUUCGCGCGGUUCCCCGACGGCACCUUCCUCGUGGCCGCCGUCCUCGCGCUAUCCUCGGUCUCUCUCCUCCUACGGGCGUGCAACCGGCCCUACCGUCUCCGGUAGGGCCUCUCGUUGCAACCCAAGUUCUACAACUUCGUCUACCCUAUGCUGGGCCGUCGGGCGCCGCGGCCGCGGCUCGGCCAGCCUUAGCUCUAGGCGGCGAGAGCCCGGCCUGAGCCCCGCCUCGGUCUACGAAGACACCGCGGCGACGGCGUCGGUAGCCUUGGGUUCUGCGCCCUCCUCCUUCUUUCCCUCUCUUUCGCCGUCCUCCUCUACCACCACCUCGACUCCAGCUCCUUCUCGUGCGUUACCUUCCCUGCCUCCAACCACACCCUGAAGGCGUUCCGACUCCGCCGCGAGCGCGUCGACCUCUUGUCCCUCCACCUCGGUGGCCGGGGGCUACCCCUCCUCUUCCUCUUCCCUCUUCUACUUCUCCUUCUCCACUAGUGACUUCUCCCAAAUGUUUGGUAUGACCUAUUCGACGCACAAGUUGUGGUGAUAACGGAAAUGACACCUACGUUCAAACUUAGUCGUCCUCGUAACCGUUUACUUACGGGACCCGGAUUACUUCUACUAGUGACUGGGUGAGACAGUUACCACUGUUCCCGUGACAGGAAGGGUGAUGUCUAAUACCAUUUACACUGUAAACCCUAUAAGAACUAAUCAACUGACACAUGCCAAUUGGAAUCAGGAAUUGUGUUAGUGACCAAGUAUCGGUUGACCUCUUUGACUAGAGGACGUACAAUCACCUUUGUUAUAUAAGAAUUGACGAUAAUACAGAUAAUCAAA
RNAcentral lists this ribosomal RNA (1067 nucleotides) under Triticum aestivum (bread wheat). Its description in RNAcentral is "partial small subunit ribosomal RNA". The record is from RNAcentral. Lineage: Eukaryota; Viridiplantae; Streptophyta; Magnoliopsida; Poales; Poaceae.